GUGUCACCCGGCGGUUGGCUGGAAUCUUCGCGAGAUUCACCGGGCGAUUCGUCUCCUCAUCUCUUCAUCUAUCCUUCUUUCCUCGCCCCUCGCCUCCGCGGUCCGCUCCGCAUCUUCCCGCGGCCGCCCCGACCUUGCCUCCAUCACCUGUGUGCCUAGGCUCCUCAAAGCAUGUCUCCUCAUCUUCUCGGCUCCGUUCAGGGGGGUGCGGUUCAUCGGCGAGGGAGGCGCUGCACUUCUGCGGCGCGCUUCACCGCCGAUUAGUGCGGCCCUGUAGCACAGCAGCGCGUCGUGGUGGAGAUGGUAUGGUGGUCAUCCAAAUGCCGCACCAAGUGAGGGCAAGCGGCACAGGUCCUUGCAGGCUGCGACAAGGGGGGCCAGGCGGGCCUUUCCCUGAUAGAGUCUGCUGCUGUCGAUUUCCAUCCGAAAGUUUUGGUGACUCCGUUCGUCCUCCCCCAAUCUACAAUAAUUUUAUUUCUAUUUCACCUGCGGAUAUCCAAUCUGUAGUCUUGCUGUUUGUACUAUUUCAAUUUUUGGUUUCCCCAUCUUAGUGUUCGGUUCUCCAAUUAAAUUUACAUUUGUUAUCCUCCUGUGCAAGGUACAUGAUAAGGAAACCACAAACCAGGGUGAUUCCACCUUAAAGGUUGAUGCCUGUCGCCUGGUAAGGUUGAAUUAUAUGCAUAAAUGAUGGAGAGAUAUUUAGGGAAGUACUAAGUUGGCUCCUCGAUCUCUUUAAAUAAAACAUUCUGCAUGACAGGAGGAAAUUCCUCACUGCAUUUUUAUCACCAUCUGGAGUUUCGAUUGUAUGGGACAGAGCAUACAGUGUGUAUGGGACACAGCAUACAUCGUCCACUUUACUGGCAAGCAAGGAUUUUUGAAUUUUUUUAGCCCAAUACUUUUGACUCAUAUUGCUAUUGCCAUGUUUUCCCCUGUGAUGAAAGGUCCAACUACUUAUCUUUCGACAACUUAGUAGCAAAUGAGAUUAAAAAAAUAAUCCUUUGCUACUUUUUCUAUGACAUUCUAGUGAUCUCGAGGUGCUCGGACUUUUGAAUCCGUAAGCACUGUUUUUUUUUUACUGUGAACGAAAGGAAUGGAGAUAAGCUACAAGGUAACUAUUACUUACUAUUGAAUGAGGUUUAUUCUUUCCAAUUUCCUCAGUUCAUUGCAUAUUUGAGCAGACCAUCUUACAAAUUAAAGGUCUCCAACAUUUCUGCAUUGCACAAUCAACAACACGUCCACAAGCAGUAUGAUGGCGGUGCUGUUUCCACCUAUGCUAUCAAGUGAUCAAGUCUACCAUACCCAAGACUACUCUUAGGUGAUGUUUGGUUAGCUCAAAUGUAACGUAAUUUGAUGUUUGGUUAGCUUAAAUGUAAUGUAAUUUGAUCAUUGAGGGUAACGAAUUCCAUUACAUAUAUUUGGUUGCGGUAGUUUGUAAUCAAUUGACACUGUAAUCAAAUCCCUUACCUAAAUAAUAUCUAUACCAGCUUGUUAUC
Setaria italica (foxtail millet) is the source of this 1493-nucleotide long non-coding RNA. RefSeq lists it as uncharacterized. NCBI's taxonomy places the organism in Eukaryota, Viridiplantae, Streptophyta, Magnoliopsida, Poales, Poaceae. The transcript is spliced from 2 exons. The record is from RefSeq and is a predicted model, not a curated record.